CCAUCGGCCCUUUUCAGGGCCACCAAUAUUUUCAAACGUAAAACA
Molecule: regulatory RNA element, 45 nt
Organism: Trichomalopsis sarcophagae
Lineage: Eukaryota; Metazoa; Arthropoda; Insecta; Hymenoptera; Pteromalidae
Rfam family: Histone 3' UTR stem-loop
About the family: The mRNAs of metazoan histone genes lack a poly-A tail.
Source: Rfam